Molecule: ribosomal RNA, 229 nt
Filed under: uncultured bacterium
Lineage: Bacteria
Description: partial 16S ribosomal RNA
Rfam family: Bacterial small subunit ribosomal RNA
Source: RNAcentral
UGCGUAGGCGGACCUUCAAGUCGGAUGUGAAAUCUAUAGGCUCAACUUAUAGCUUGCAUUCGAAACUGAUGGUCUUGAGUGGAUUAGAGGAAUGCGGAAUUCCAGGUGUAGCGGUGAAAUGCGUAGAUAUCUGGAGGAACACCAGUAGCGAAGGCGGCAUUCUGGGAUCAUACUGACGCUGAAGCACGAAGGCUAGGGGAGCAAACAGGAUUAGAUACCCUGGUAGUCC